AUCAGUCACCAUUCUGGCAGAUUAUCCCAUCAAAGUCACGGCUGAACUCGUCCAUGGAAAAAGCAGUGUGGCCCAAGCAGAGAGCACCAUCCCAGCAGGCUCUACCAGACUGCUGGCUCUUCCCCCUGUCUUUUCCAAUGACAUGAGUUACUGGUAUCCAUAUCAG
Long non-coding RNA from Sinocyclocheilus rhinocerous, 166 nucleotides. RefSeq lists it as uncharacterized. The transcript is spliced from 3 exons. The record is from RefSeq and is a predicted model, not a curated record. NCBI's taxonomy places the organism in Eukaryota, Metazoa, Chordata, Actinopteri, Cypriniformes, Cyprinidae.